RNAcentral lists this ribosomal RNA (501 nucleotides) under uncultured bacterium. RNAcentral's name for it is "partial 16S ribosomal RNA". It matches the Rfam family "Bacterial small subunit ribosomal RNA", at positions 30 to 523 of the family's 1533-position model. The record is from RNAcentral.
AUUGAACGCUGGCGGCAGGCUUAACACAUGCAAGUCGAGCGGAGCGAGGGUGCUUGCACCUUAGCUUAGCGGCGGACGGGUGAGUAAUGCUUAGGAAUCUGCCUAUUAGUGGGGGACAACAUUCCGAAAGGAAUGCUAAUACCGCAUACGCCCUACGAGGGAAAGCAGGGGAUCUUCGGACCUUGCGCUAAUAGAUGAGUCUAAGUCGGAUUAGCUAGUUGGUGGGGUAAAGGCCUACCAAGGCGACGAUCUGUAGCGGGUCUGAGAGGAUGAUCCGCCACACUGGGACUGAGACACGGCCCAGACUCCUACGGGAGGCAGCAGUGGGGAAUAUUGGACAAUGGGCGGAAGCCUGAUCCAGCCAUGCCGCGUGUGUGAAGAAGGCCUUUUGGUUGUAAAGCACUUUAAGCGAGGAGGAGGCUACUUAGAUUAAUACUCUGGGAUAGUGGACGUUACUCGCAGAAUAAGCACCGGCUAACUCUGUGCCAGCCGCCGCCGUAA